RNAcentral lists this ribosomal RNA (495 nucleotides) under uncultured bacterium. RNAcentral describes it as "partial 16S ribosomal RNA". It matches the Rfam family "Bacterial small subunit ribosomal RNA", at positions 28 to 507 of the family's 1533-position model. The record is from RNAcentral.
GACGAACGCUGGCGGCGUGCCUAAUACAUGCAAGUCGAACGCUGAAGGAGGAGCUUGCUUCUCUGGAUGAGUUGCGAACGGGUGAGUAACGCGUAGGUAACCUGCCUGGUAGCGGGGGAUAACUAUUGGAAACGAUAGCUAAUACCGCAUAAUAGUAGAUGUUGCAUGACAUUUGCUUAAAAGGUGCAAUUGCAUCACUACCAGAUGGACCUGCGUUGUAUUAGCUAGUUGGUGGGGUAACGGCUCACCAAGGCGACGAUACAUAGCCGACCUGAGAGGGGGAUCGGCCACACUGGGACUGAGACACGGCCCAGACUCCUACGGGAGGCAGCAGGAGGGAAUCUUCGGCAAUGGACGGAAGUCUGACCGAGCAACGCCGCGUGAGUGAAGAAGGUUUUCGGAUCGUAAAGCUCUGUUGUAAGAGAAGAACGAGUGUGAGAGUGGAAAGUUCACACUGUGACGGUAUCUUACCAGAAAGGGACGGCUAACUACGUG